GGGAGGUUAGCUCAGUUGGUUCAGAGCGCUGCUUUCACACAGCAGAGGUCGAAGGUUCGAGCCCUUUACUUCCCA
This 75-nucleotide transfer RNA is filed under the name Hymenobacter sp. Its description in RNAcentral is "tRNA-Val". It matches the Rfam family "tRNA". Rfam says of the family: Transfer RNA (tRNA) molecules are approximately 80 nucleotides in length. Their secondary structure includes four short double-helical elements and three loops (D, anti-codon, and T loops). RNAcentral also lists the same sequence under 5 other names. Lineage: Bacteria; Pseudomonadati; Bacteroidota; Cytophagia; Cytophagales; Hymenobacteraceae. The record is from RNAcentral.